CUCUUUCAAAUAAUCUACCAAAUGAAGGGCUCACCUGUUGGCUUCUCCAUAACAAUGGAAAAAAGAGCUGCCCCUAGGAACCAAGCGAAGCCAGGAGCCCAAAAAAGAGGCUUCUUUAACUCUUCCUCUUACGUGAAAAUAGGAGAGGUGUUUCUAAUCAAGUAUGGUGAUCCUGCUGAGUCUCUUUUUACACAUAAAGAGGGAACUGUUUUAUUAGAAAAGUUAGAGUCAAAGCUGAAGCUCUUAUGCAAGAGGUCUAACAAAAAGGAGGUGAGAGGAAUUUUUAAAAAAUAUCAAUUUCCAAAUCAACUCUUCUACCUUCUAUAUUCUAUAUAUUAAAAAAAUUAUGUUAUUCCACCACCUUCAUCCUUGUGUAACUUGUAGCUA
Molecule: unclassified non-coding RNA, 387 nt
Filed under: Zea mays
Lineage: Eukaryota; Viridiplantae; Streptophyta; Magnoliopsida; Poales; Poaceae
Description: misc RNA Zm00001eb100640
Source: RNAcentral